GUGUCAUAGAAGGUGAGAACCCUGUGAAUAGUUAUAUUAGAGGGAGGAUAUUGAGUUUGAUUAUCAUAGAGUCGGGUUGUUUGGGAAUGCAGCCUAAAAAGGGUGGUAAAUCUCAUCUAAAGCUAAAUAUUUGGUAAGAGACCGAUAGAAUACAAGUACCGUGAGGGAAAGAUGAAAAGAACUUUGAAAAGAGAGUUAAAAGUACUUGAAAUUGUUAACUGGGAACCGCUUAAAAUUCUAAUCUCUUAAUUUUAUUAAAUCAUCUUCUUCAAGGAUGGAUCACAUUAAAUAGAUGUAACUCAGUUACUCUAUGAGUGGGUGAAGUCAAAGAGGAAGUGCACUUUAGUAGAAUUAUAAUCAACAUGAAUUUUAAGAAACUUAGAAAAAUAGAAGAAAGGUAGUAGUCUUAUCUUCGGGUAUUACUAUGUUAUAAUCUUUUAUUGAAUGAGUUACUUAAGAUUGAGGAAUUAAUGUACUCCUCUAUGGAUUGUGAUAUUAGGUUCAUGGAAGGGAUAAAGUAGCAG
This 524-nucleotide ribosomal RNA is filed under the name uncultured eukaryote. RNAcentral's name for it is "eukaryotic LSU rRNA". It matches the Rfam family "Eukaryotic large subunit ribosomal RNA", at positions 200 to 634 of the family's 3401-position model. The record is from RNAcentral.